GGUAAAGAGAGCGUUUUCCCAAAGAAAAUAACAUAGCACAGAAGGAAAAAUAAAAAGAAAUUGCUGCAGAUUUUACUUUAUGUGAGAAAAUCUACAAUUUCUUCGAGACACUCAUAUAAAGGAAGCAGUCAUGUUUCAUGAGUCCUCAAAACUGAGACAAGAGAAUGUAGUAGAGUGAGGCCAGAAGUCCUUACUGGUUCAAAGAACUCCGGGGAAACUGGGAUAGAACAUUUUACAUUAUAAGUAGAACCCUGGGAGCCAGAGGUGAAUACAAGUUUAUCUGCAGAGCUCCGCUGCAGGGCUGAUCUGGGUCUGGAAGAAAUGGAUGAGAGCCAGUGGAUGAAAUUCACUAAUACUAGACAUCUGAGUCCUCUAGUAAUGUAUAAAUAUCCUAACUAUUGUUUG
This 405-nucleotide long non-coding RNA is filed under the name Pan troglodytes (chimpanzee). RNAcentral describes it as "long non-coding RNA NONPTRT018315". Lineage: Eukaryota; Metazoa; Chordata; Mammalia; Primates; Hominidae. The record is from RNAcentral.